UACGUAGGGCGCAAGCGUUGUCCGGAAUUAUUGGGCGUAAAGAGCUCGUAGGCGGUCUGUCGCGUCGGUUGUGAAAACACAAGGCUCAACCUUGUGCCUGCAAUCGAUACGGGCAGACUAGAGUACUGCAGGGGAGACUGGAAUUCCUGGUGUAGCGGUGGAAUGCGCAGAUAUCAGGAGGAACACCUGUUGCGAAGGCAGCUCGCUGGGACGUAACUGACGCUGAGACGCGAAAGCGUGGGGAGCAAACAGG
Molecule: ribosomal RNA, 253 nt
Filed under: uncultured bacterium
Lineage: Bacteria
Description: partial 16S ribosomal RNA
Rfam family: Bacterial small subunit ribosomal RNA
Source: RNAcentral